GCAAACAGCAAGAGGAUUUUUAUUCCAAGCGCGCUGGGGCCCACAGUCGUAUGCCACGCAGGGGUAGAGGACUGCGGCCCCGAGUGCGGAAUCGGGACAGAUUUUAUGGGGUUCACAGCAAAGCCCGUGCUUCGCAAACCAAUCAUUUUAAAACAGCGCCGGAGGUCCGCAUUUGCGCGGGCUCCUGGGCAGGGUGACAGAUUGCAGUUGAGAUGCUAUGGUGCCAGUCAGUUUUACAGAAUCCAGAUAAGCGAUUAGUCAACUCAUUUCCUGUUGUCUUACUUAGGCCAGGGUCACGCAUUCCAGGGCCUAUUUUACGUUCUUUCAUCUAGUUUCAUACAGAAGGCAGGCCCUGGAACAGCAAGAAGUGUGACCUUCUACCUAUUUGCUGGCAGGGAACAGGGUCUGGAAUUCGGGGGCAUUUAGAGCUUUUUAUUAACUUCCUGGGUUCUGGGAGGGUUAGGUUGCAUUUUCAUCCUUUCAUUCCCCACUUCUUCUCUUGUUAAUAGUUCUAAUCUUAGAACUGGGAAGGCUAAAGGUCAGUUUCUCCUUGGCUCGGAAGGCCUUGGUACUGCUGUCUAAGUACCAUGAUCUGAACUGCACUCACUCGUUCUCUGACAAAGGCAACAAACUGAUUAAUUAAGCAAGGCCCAACUGUUCAGUGGGGACUGAUCCAGAGGUUGUAUUGAAAUCAGAGGGAUUAGGAGAUGGCCUCUGUUCUUGGAUUGGAGGUCCUUGUUCGGUUAACACCUUAUUCGGUCCUACAGCAACCGGAGGUUCCAUCUGAGUUUCUAUUCUGAGGUGAAUAGUUAGAAUAGAUCUUUCUUCUCCAGAGCCUCUAUAGAAAACUAUUCCCCAAGACAUACCAUUUAUCCACUUUCAAAUAUUUUGUUGUUCUCCUUUUUCAGUGAAACUUAUUUUCAAGUAAUCUAGGUCUGACGGAGAGCAACUUAUUUGUUUAUAUUUUCCCUCUCUCUGCCAAUCUAAAUAAUUAAGUUGAUCAGAACUGGUAUAAUUGUUGACAAAAGAGAAACUUACCCUAUCUUGCCGAGAGGUUGGCCAUUUUUAAUACCUACCAUUAGAGGUUACACAGCUCCAUUCCUUGCAAAAGAAAUCCCUGGGAUUUCCACAAUAUUUUUCAUUGUUUGGGGGUCCUGGACAAACAUAAAACCCGUAAGCACGGAGUAUAUCGGGGCGUGUGGACAUGGUGUUAAGACCAGGGACUACCAAUCGAAGGCAGACAUGUAGCUCAGGCCACCAGGUCCCUAAGGGAGCUUCCCUUUGAGUGCUGUUAAUAGUAAUACCUGUACUGGAAUCAGUAAGUAGCCAGGUGAGAGAUAAGGGUUUAUGGGAGGUCGGGCUGUCCACAAGGCAUUUACUAUUAGCUUGAGGGGUUAUUGAUAGGGUAAGGAACCAAGCGAUGGAGGCAAAGUUUAAGGGGGUUCUCGGUCUUUUUAUCUCUCCACUCCAAGUCAGGAGGUGGCGCCAGCUUGACGUGGGACGCAUGAAUCCAGGUGGGGAUUCUUUCGACUUUUACAGCUGUUGGUGUGGUCAGAAGUACGAGAUAAGGGCCCUUCCACCGGGUCUCGAGGUUUCCCGCACGGUGGCGUCUAACAUAGACUGAAUCUCCAACUUGGAAGCGAUGUGGAACUUGCAAGUCUCCUUCUCCUGAGUAGGCUUCCCAGAACUGCUUCCAUGCUCGCUGCCUCACCCACUUGAGCGCCUUGAGCCUAGAGAAUAAAGGCUGGGAAAGCAGCACAUCAGCACUAUGUACAGAGGCAAUUUCUGCCAACGGGGGGGGGGGGUCCCCCAUAGGGCAAUUCAUAGGGGGUCAGCCCAAACUGUCCAGGGGUGUUCCUAACCCUGAAGAGCACACAGGGCAGGAGAGUUAUCCAAUCAUUAACGCCAGUCUCUGUGGUCAAUUUGGUAAGGGUCUCUUUAAUGGUUCUAUUUAUCCUCUCUACCUGUCCUGAGCUUUGGGGUCUGUAUGCACAAUGCAGUUUCCAAUCAAUCCCCAAUAUCUUGGCCAGUCCCUGACUUACCUGGGCCACGAAAGCUGGACCAUUGUCUCACCCUAUUACCUUAGGUAUUCCAAAUCUCAGAAAAAUUUCCUCCAAUAUUGUUUUAGCCACCACGGUUGAAGUCUCUUUCUUAGUAGGAUAAGCCUCGACCCAUCCUGAAAAGGUGUCUACAAAAACCAAUAGAUAUUUGUUUCUGUAUUUAGCCGGCUUUACUUCAGUGAAGUCCACUUCCCAGUGAGCACCUGGGUGGCUUCCCCUUAGUCUCUUUCCCAGAGGCAUUCUGGAAGGAUUAGCAUUAACCAGCUGGCAGGGCACACAAUGUUUGACCACCGAGUCAGCCACUCCUGGUAGUCUCAGAACAUAAGGGGAUGUUCUGACCAACUGCUGCAGAUGUUUAGCUCCUAGGUGGGUUAGACGAUGCAUCUGUUGGACAUACUCUAACCCUUCUUUGUGGGGCAGGAUCUCCUUCCCAUCUGAGGUAUAGCAGGUCCCCUCUGGGGUCUCAGAGAAACAGUCUAUCUUUUUUAUCUCUUGCCAGUCUUCUAGGGUGUACUGUCGCCCGGGUUCCAGGGCUUUGGGCAUUUCUAUUAUAGGCAGAAGGUUAACACCCUGGGCAGCUUGCUUGGCGACCUGGUCAGCCAUCUGGUUUCCUUUGGAGAUGAGAUCUUUGGCUUUCUGAUGUCCAGGGCAAUGUAUAAUGGCUAGCCUUUUUGGCAAAUGUAAGGCCUCCAACAAGCUUAGAAUUUUUUCUUUGUUCUUGACUUCCCUCCCUGCUGAGGUAAGCAACCCCCUUUGUUUAUAGAUGGCCCCAUGCACGUGUGCAGUCGCAAAGGCAUACCUGCUGUCCGUAUAAAUGUUUAUGGAUUUCCCCUCGGCCAGCCGCAAAGCUUGUGUGAGGGCCACGAGCUCAGCCUUUUGUGCUGAAGUCCCUUCCGACAGGCUGCUGGCCCAGAUAUGCGGGGGCCCGUCCACCACCGCCGCCCUAGCCAUCCUCUUACCUUCCACUACAUAGCUGCUCCCAUCAGUGAACCAGGUCAGCACUUCUCCAGUCAGCGGUAUGUCUGUAAGGUCCUUGCGGACCCCAGUCUCCUCGAUCAACAGUUGAUGGCAAUCAUGAGUCACUGGUUCAUCGGUCUCUUCAGGCAGAAGAGUGGCAGGGUUGAGAGCGGCGGGUGGAGCGAACGUGAUCCUUUCUGUGAGAAGCAGGCUUUGAUAGUGGGUCAUGCGGGCGUUGGUCAUCCAUCGGUCUGGGGGCUGCCGGACGAUGUUCUCCAACGCAUGGGGGGCUAUUACAGUUAUAUUCUGUCCCAAAGUCAAUUUGUCAGCGUCCUUGACCAGUAUGGCCACAGCUGCGAUAGCCUUCAGGCAUACGGGCCAACCACUGGCUACAGGAUCGAGCUUCUUUGACAGGUAGGCAACAGGUCUCCUCCAUGGUCCUAGGGAUUGGGUUAAAACUCCCCGG
This 3483-nucleotide long non-coding RNA is filed under the name Sus scrofa (pig). Its description in RNAcentral is "lncRNA (ENSSSCG00005025496.1)". Lineage: Eukaryota; Metazoa; Chordata; Mammalia; Artiodactyla; Suidae. The record is from RNAcentral.